This 1239-nucleotide long non-coding RNA is filed under the name Canis lupus familiaris (dog). RNAcentral describes it as "lncRNA (ENSCAFG00030022839.1)". Lineage: Eukaryota; Metazoa; Chordata; Mammalia; Carnivora; Canidae. The record is from RNAcentral.
GUUGGAGAAGAAACCAUUCCUGCUUGUUCCCAGGCGUCCGGAGAAUAGAAAGAAAGGAUUCCCGCCCCUCUUAUUACCACGAUUUCUCUGUUUCCCUAUCUUUUGCAAACGAACGGCUAGCACGGGGUUUAAGCAGGCUGGCCGCGGAGCCCGGCUGCCUCCUGACCCUGUCUCAACCUCUCCAAAUCUCAGCGUUCUCAUCUGUCGUGCGGGAGCAAUAAUCAUUCCUCGCCUGUAGGAUGGCUGCGAGCGCAAAGGGGUAACCCGGGUGAAGGGCUCGGCGCGGCACUUUGUACACAGAGAGGGAUCAAGGGAUGCCAGCUGGUACCGGGAUUUUCCGAUUACGAAACUACGUGCAACAGAACUCAAGGCUCUAAGGAAGAGGAAUGUGCCGUCCGGUCUCCCACCGUUCGCUCCCAGUCUUCCCCCAAAGGAUUAUUUAACAAAUGCUCUUUUUUUUUCUAGUCCUUAAUCACUAUGAUACGUUGAGAAGUGGCUAAAUAGCAGCCUUCUGUAGGAAUCAACUCCCGUGUGUCAACACUUUGAGAAGGUGUCCCUCGGUGCCCCUCCGCGUCCCCAGCAGCGGGGUCUGCGUGUAACCAGAGGCCAGCCAGGGCCGGGUAAACGGGUGUAUUAGUGACUUAUUGCUGGAAAACAAACUGACACGAAUUUAUGCAUGCAUUUUCUUGCAGUUUUUGUGACUCGAGAAUCUUGGCAUGGCUUGGCUACGUCCUUAGCUCGGGGUGUCACGAGGUUGCAGCGAAGGGGUUAGCGGGGCUGCCUUCUCAUGUGGUGGCUUGGCCGGGGAGGGAUGCCCCUCCCGGCUCAUCAGGUUGUCGGCACAGUGGAUUUCCUUGUCGCCGUGGGACUGCGGGCCUUUGCCGCCCUGGCCCUGGCCGUCAGCUCCUAAGGACCACGGCUGCCGACUGCACUAAUCCCACAAGGAGAGUCUCUGCAGCAAGUCUGCCAACAAGAUUAGGAGCUGCUUCUCUAAGUUUCACCUCCUCAUUCAAAGAAGGAAGAAUGACAAAGCACAAAAGCCACAAAGCAGCCCCUCCAGAGUUAAGCCCCGUGCCAAGCAGACAAGCCUACAUUUGGGGCCUGCAGGAGGACUGCGGAGGGAGGACUGCGGAGGGAGGACUGCGGAGGGAGGACUGCGAGAGCCCGGCCUGGAUGAGGAGCAGCGACUGCAACACCCUCCCUUGCCCCAGGGAGGAGCAGCUUGGAAACUUUUUAUGA